RNAcentral lists this ribosomal RNA (1892 nucleotides) under Rozella allomycis. RNAcentral's name for it is "23S ribosomal RNA". The record is from RNAcentral. Lineage: Eukaryota; Fungi; Rozellomycota.
UGAAUUGAAUAUUAUAUUAAUAAAUAAAUUAUAGACAUUAUAUAUUAUAGAAAAAAGAAAUAUUUAAAUUAGAAGUAUCUUUAUAAUUAAUUAGAUUAAUUAUAAUUAAAUAAAAAAUAUAUUUUAGUAAAUAAAUAAAUAAUUAUAUUAAGUAUUAAAUAAAGAAUUAAUAUAUUAGAAUAAAAAUUAAAUUAUAAAUUAUAUUAUAUUUAUAUGUCACUAAUAAAGAAAAAGUACUGAAAAGGAAAAUUAAUUAUAUUUAUAUAUAAAUUAAGAUAUUUAUUAUUAUAUUGUAUUAUUUAAGUAUUGUUAUUAUAUAUAAAAUUAUAUUACUAUUGUAUAAGUAUUUAAGUAGAGAAAUAUAUAUAUAGAAUUAACCAUUAUUAAUAUUUAUAUUUAAACUAGAACAUAUAAGAAAUUAAAUAAAAUUUAUUUUUAAAUUUAGAAUAUAAGAAAUUAAUGUUGCAUUAUUAUUUUAUAAUUUUAUUUAAGUAUAGAAAUUAUUAUCGAUUAUAUAACUAUUUAGUUAAAUGAGAAAUAUAUAUUAGUAUAGUCAUUAUUUUAGAAUUAUAUUAUAUAAUUAUUAAUUAGUAUUAAAAUAGAAAUAAUGAAAUAGAUUUAAUUAUAGUGUGUAUAUAAAUCUAAAUAUAUAAAUAUAAAAAUUAAAUUAAAUAUAAAUAAAUAUAUAUAAGUAUUAUAACUAUUAUUAUUAAUUAAUUAAAAUUAAUAUUCUUUCUACAUAUCAAACCUUAUUUAUUAAAAUAGAAUUUAUUAAUUCUUAUCAAAUAUAUAAUUAACCUUAUUAUUAUAUAUAUAUAUAAAUUUUUAUUGUUAUCAUUUAUAAUUAUUUAAAUUAAAAUAAUUAUAUAUAUCUUAUAUUGAGUAAUCAAACCUAAUUAAAUCCUAAUUAAAAUAUAUCUAUCUACAUCUAUAUUAACUUCAAGUUAAAUUAUAUUUAUUAAUGGAAAAAUAAAUAUUAUAAAUAAUUAUAUUUAAGGAACUAGACAAUAAAUAUAUUAAUAUAUUUGUAUAUUAAUAAAUAAAACUAUAUAUAUCAACUGUUUAUCAAAUACAUAAGAUAUAGCUCUAUUAAUUGUAUUAUAUAUGAUUUCUUCUCAAUAAUAUUAUUAUUAAUAUUAAAUAGAAAGUUUAACUAUAAGACUUAUUAAAGUAUAAAUAUAAAUUAAUUGUUUAUAAAUAGAAUGAAAAAAUGAAUAUACUAAUGUCUCAAAUAUAAAUUAUAUGAAAUAAAUAAAUUUGUGAAUAUUCAAAUAUUAUAAAAAAGAAGUAGAGUCCCUAUGAAGUUUUACUAUUAAUAUAUAUAUCAUUUAAUAAAUUAAUAUUAUAAGUUAGUUUAAGUUGGAAACUAUUAUAUAAUAAGAAAAUAUAUAAUAUAAAUAGAUUAUUAAAUAAAUUAAUAAAUAAAUAAUAAUUAUACUAAUAGAGAAAUAUUUAUAAUUAGUUAUAUAUAUGUAUUAUAUAAAGAUCUACAUUAUUAUUAAUAUGUACAUAAAAAAUAUAAAUUACUCUAGGGAUAACAUAAUAAUAUUUGUAUUAAAUAAAUAAAUAUAAAUGUUUAUUAAUCCGUUGUUGGCUUACAUUAAUAAUUAUAUAUAGAAAUAUAAUUAUAUAGAUUGUUCAUCUUAUAAAUCAUGUUCAUUAGCUGAGUUAAUUCCAUUGUAAAAUAGGAAGGAUACUAUCUUUUUAUUAAUUUAAAUUAUAUAUUUUUAAUAUAGUAUGAAAAGAAUUAUUAUUAUAUACCUCUAUUUAUUAAAUUAAAUAAUUAUUAUAUGUAUAAAUAAAUAAAUAAAUAAUGAAUAUAUAUAAAUUAUAUAUUUUUAUAUAAUUUAAUUUCUAUUAUUAGUAAGAAUAACUAAUUAUCUCCUUUAUUA